GAGUGUAACUCAGUGGUAGAGUGCUUGCCUAGUAUGUGCAAGGCCCAAAGUUUGAUCCCUAGCAUUGCA
This 69-nucleotide transfer RNA is filed under the name Marmota monax (woodchuck). RNAcentral describes it as "tRNA.Thr". The record is from RNAcentral. Lineage: Eukaryota; Metazoa; Chordata; Mammalia; Rodentia; Sciuridae.